Molecule: unclassified non-coding RNA, 26 nt
Filed under: Mus musculus (house mouse)
Lineage: Eukaryota; Metazoa; Chordata; Mammalia; Rodentia; Muridae
Description: oocyte_clustered_small_RNA9983
Source: RNAcentral
UAAGGACUGCUGUGACUCUUUGGAGU